This 233-nucleotide ribosomal RNA is filed under the name uncultured bacterium. RNAcentral describes it as "partial 16S ribosomal RNA". It matches the Rfam family "Bacterial small subunit ribosomal RNA", at positions 15 to 236 of the family's 1533-position model. The record is from RNAcentral.
GAUCACUGGCUCAGGAUGAACGCUAGCUACAGGCUUAACACAUGCAAGUCGAGGGGAAACGACAUCGAAAGCUUGCUUUUGAUGGGCGUCGACCGGCGCACGGGUGAGUAACGCGUAUCCAACCUGCCCACCACUUGGGGAUAACCUUGCGAAAGUAAGACUAAUACCCAAUGAUAUCUCUAGAAGGCAUCUGAAAGAGAUUAAAGAUUUAUCGGUGAUGGAUGGGGAUGCGU